GUUGACUUUAUGCAUUUAUUCAACCAUUACUAUCAGGAGGAAGUUGUGCCCAGUCCUUGGGCCCAUAAAGUUCAGUUUGUCAAUGAGGUUGGCUCUUCAAGGACACACAACAGACAAGAUCUCAGGGAGACUGAUUGAACUGCCCAGGGGUUGGUAUCUGCCCCCACCCCUGCCCCGUUCGGGUUCUGUUCUAUGCUGUGGCCCUGCUCUUAAUCACUAAGAAAGGGAGACUGGAGCCAUCAAAGAGAGACUUCCCAAAGCCCCUGCUCACUCACGCACUCUGGAAGCCUGCCUGAGAUGCUUGCUGCUGUUCUCACAUGUCUCUGCCAGGUGACUACAGGCACUGACUGUUCAUGUGUCUGUGUCUCCCCCACGUGACUUCAGUUUCUGCUCUGUCAUCCAUGCGUCUGGGCACAGGUGCUGACUCCAAGAUCCUCCUGCGGUUUCAGUGUGUUCCUCCCAGGCACUCCCCAUCCACAGCCAUUCUUGCCUCAAGAUCCAUAACCGGUAGCCCUGGAGUCUCCACUUCUCGCAUCCUUAAAUUCAGGAUCCUCUUCAUUGAAAGACUCCCAAGGGUCGGGUGUGGUAGUAUAGGCCUAUAAUCCCAGCACUCAGGGCAGACACAGGUGGAUCUCUGUGGUCUAUGUAUGGAGCUCUAGGCUAGGCAGGACUACAUAGUGAAAGCCUCAGGACUCCUCCUGGUGGCUGCAGUGGCCUUCCUCAGCGUCCUGGUUUUGAUGUCUGUCAGGUGGGAGUGUGAUUUUAGGCCAGGGGACUUGUGAAGACAUCAGCGCCACUUCCUAGACCUGUGGGAUCACAUCUUGGGACACUCGGUCUGAUAGCCGUUAGAACUCUUCCCAGGCAUAGCCUUCAGCAGCGGGGAGCGAGCCAAACAGCUAAGGCGCUUCUCCAUCACCACGCUGCGGGACUUCGGCGUGGGGAAGCGUGGCAUCGAGGAGCGCAUCCAAGAGGAGGCGGGCUUUCUCAUCGAUUCAUUUCGGAAGACGAACGGUAAGCAGAGCACCGCAAGUUCUCAGGACCUUAGCCGAACAGUCUCCAAUGUCAUUAGCUCAAUCGUCUUCGGGGACCGCUUUGACUA
Molecule: non-coding RNA, 1099 nt
Filed under: Mus musculus (house mouse)
Lineage: Eukaryota; Metazoa; Chordata; Mammalia; Rodentia; Muridae
Source: RNAcentral